UACGGAGGGUCCAAGCGUUAUCCGGAAUCAUUGGGCGUAAAGCGCGCGUAGGUGGCUUCGUAAGUCCGUUGUGAAAGUCAAAGGCUCAACCUUUGAAAGCCGAUGGAUACUGCGGAGCUAGAGUACGGAAGAGGCGAGUGGAAUUCCUGGUGUAGCGGUGGAAUGCGCAGAUAUCAGGAGGAACACCAAUAGCGAAGGCAGCUCGCUGGGACGUUACUGACACUGAGGCGCGAAAGCGUGGGGAGCGAACAGG
This 253-nucleotide ribosomal RNA is filed under the name uncultured bacterium. Its description in RNAcentral is "partial 16S ribosomal RNA". It matches the Rfam family "Bacterial small subunit ribosomal RNA", at positions 524 to 776 of the family's 1533-position model. The record is from RNAcentral.